Long non-coding RNA from Arachis duranensis, 1186 nucleotides. RefSeq lists it as uncharacterized. Lineage: Eukaryota; Viridiplantae; Streptophyta; Magnoliopsida; Fabales; Fabaceae. The record is from RefSeq and is a predicted model, not a curated record. The transcript is spliced from 2 exons.
UUCCGCUAAAAUUAGAUCCAUUUUUUUAAGUAUUGUUUCUCUCCCCUUGUGUGAUUGAUAUUCUUGAUUCUCUUGUGCAAUAAAGAUACAUGCAGUUCUAAUAAAGUCGUAAGCACAUACCUGCUUAAGCACGGAAUAAAUUCCCAUAUCACCUGUCAGUUGUUUGUGAAUUAGGAAUACUAGAAGGGUGUGCAGUGACAUCUAUAAUACACUUUGUUAUUACACGAUCUCUUCUCUGGUAUACUUGUGUGUGCAGAUUUGAUUUAAUCGUCAUUAUUUAUGAACUUGUACUUGGCAAAGGUUUUAAUGUGAGUUCUUUUUUCAAAUAUAUGGCAUCAUGAUAGGAAUAGAAUGCAGUUAGAAGUACUCAUGCGUCUAGCCAAUUGUAGCUUUGGUUUUUCACAUUGUUAUAUCAAACAUAGAUUCUUUUUACAUGGAAUUGGAAGAUUAUGAGAUCAUAAAAACUCAAAGGCUUGACUUCUUUUCAAGUUGACAACAAGUAAAGCGUCGAUCAAAAUAUUCAGUUUUAAUGAAUUUAUUGUAAUUUCCAUAACCUUAGAUUUCGUAAAUUCUUAUUUUUUUGGGUAUUUUUGAGGUCUAUAAUGAUAUUGGCACAUUGGAAAUUAGAAUCAUGGAUGUUGUAGAAGGAUAAGAAAAGUUCAUAUAAAAUUCAGAUUAUCUAGAACUCUAAUUUCAUACACCUUUUUUCAUAAAUAGCAAACUAUUUCCUCUCAGCUCAUGUAGAAUUCUAGCCGUAUGUUCUAUCUCUUGCUGUUAUUUAUUUUUUCCGUUUCAGUGUUUAAUGAUUCGUUUUGCCAUGUUAUCAGGGUUUGAUGUGCCUUUUACAUGAUGUGGUAUAUGGAGCUAGAUUCACCAGAUAUUUAUACAUGACUUAAUUUUGGAAUCGUUUGCAGAGAGUUGAUAGGAGAGAGAUGGUAUAUUUUGAUUUGCUUACAGAUUUAACUUUGUGUAGCUAGAGGGGCCAAGGUUGUUAUUUUAUUCUUGUUUGUGUUCGGUGGAUGGGGGAUGAAUAUUAUUCUUUGCUUUACUACUUCUAGCCAUAUUUGUUAUUGUAAUUAGCCGUUUGUCACGUCUAGAAUUGGUUUUUGCUGGCGAUUCUUCCUGUCUACUAAAUCCGGCAGAAGAAUUUUAUUUCAUGAUAUAUAGGUUGUACCAUGUUUAUUCA